Molecule: long non-coding RNA, 405 nt
Filed under: Prunus persica (peach)
Lineage: Eukaryota; Viridiplantae; Streptophyta; Magnoliopsida; Rosales; Rosaceae
Description: long non-coding RNA (PPER_LNC001411)
Source: RNAcentral
CCUCCUUGAUUUCAAAAUCAACAUCAGAAUGGUUGAACAAUAUCACCCCAACUGAGCCCCUGUAGUCAGCAUCUAUGACUCCCGCUCCCACAUUGAUCGAGUGCUUCCAGGCCAACCCUGACCGCGGCGCUGCACACCCAAGAGAAUGUUAGUGAAACACGUUUCUUUAAAAAUAUAAAAAAUAUCAAAUUUUCCUUUUCUAUUUUUUGAAAUUUAACAGGAAAAUUGGGGAUCUGGGUUUUACCAAUUCUUGCAUAGGUUCCUUCAGGGACUGCAAUGCUCAGAUCAGUUGGGACCAGGGCUUUUCCUCUAGCCGGUACCUUCGUCUCCGUUGCACUACACAAAAUCAAAGAAACAAAGAAAAAUCCACAUGAGAUUACAAUAAUUUUUCUCGUAAAAAUCGAC